This 483-nucleotide ribosomal RNA is filed under the name uncultured bacterium. RNAcentral's name for it is "partial 16S ribosomal RNA". It matches the Rfam family "Bacterial small subunit ribosomal RNA", at positions 30 to 507 of the family's 1533-position model. The record is from RNAcentral.
AUUGAACGCUGGCGGCAGGCCUAACACAUGCAAGUCGAGCGGAUGAAGGGAGCUUGCUCCUGGAUUCAGCGGCGGACGGGUGAGUAAUGCCUAGGAAUCUGCCUGGUAGUGGGGGAUAACGUCCGGAAACGGGCGCUAAUACCGCAUACGUCCUGAGGGAGAAAGUGGGGGAUCUUCGGACCUCACGCUAUCAGAUGAGCCUAGGUCGGAUUAGCUAGUUGGUGGGGUAAAGGCCUACCAAGGCGACGAUCCGUAACUGGUCGGAGAGGAUGAUCAGUCACACUGGAGCUGAGACACGGUCCAGGCUCCUACGGGCGGCCGCAGUGGGGAAUAUUGGACGCUGGGCGGAAGCCUGAUCCAGCCAUGCAGCGUGUGUGAAGAAGGUCUUCGGAUUGUAAAGCACUUUACGUUGGGAGGAAGGGCAGUAAGCUAAUACCUGCUGUUUUGACGUUACCAACAGAAUAAGCACCGGCUAACUUCGUG